This 439-nucleotide ribosomal RNA is filed under the name uncultured bacterium. RNAcentral's name for it is "partial 16S ribosomal RNA". It matches the Rfam family "Bacterial small subunit ribosomal RNA", at positions 338 to 795 of the family's 1533-position model. The record is from RNAcentral.
CCUACGGUGGGCAGCAGUGGGGAAUAUUGCACAAUGGGGGAAACCCUGAUGCAGCGACGCCGCGUGAGUGAAGAAGUAAUUCGUUAUGUAAAGCUCUAUCAGCAGGGAAGAAAAUGACGGUAACUGCGCAACAAGCCCCGGCUAACUACGUCCCAGCAGCCGCGGUCAUACGUAGGGGGCAAGCGCUAUCCGGAUUUACUGGGUGAAACGGGAGCGGAGACGGCAGUGCAAGUCUGGGGUGAACGGCGGGGGCUCAAUCCCCGGACUGCUCUGGAAACUGUACGGCGGGAGUGCAGGAGAGGGAAGGGGAAUUCCUAGUGUGGCGGUGAAAUGCGUAGAUAUUAGGAGGAACACCGGUGGCGAAGGCGGCUUACUGGACUGUAACUGACGUUGAGGCUCGAAAGCGUGGGGAGCAAACAGGAUUAGAUACCGAGUAGUC